GCGGGAAGAGUGCCUCCGCGGAGCGGCCCGGCGGGAACUAACAGCCGCCGCGGCGGGAGCUCCGCUCGAAUGGCCGAAGGCUGGUCCUUGUCUUCCCCGCAGAUCCCGAAAGCCUUCCGCUCCCUGGAGCUGCUGCCUUCAGUGCACUCAUUCCCUGGACGUUAAGGUUCACGUGGGCACCAGCCGGCCAGGAGAAGUAGCGACAUCCCCUACCCAUCAUCUCUCCAAGGCAGCGCCCGGGCCACCAAGGCAGAAAACCAGCUGCAGCGCGAGCGGGAACCUGAGAGACGAGCCCGAGACGCCCGGACGAACGCCGCCGAAGCUGGGCGCGCAGGGGCCCGAGAGCCUUCCGGCCUAAGGGGAGACGCACGAACCCAGCAGAAAGUAGCUUCAGCUCGGACUGGGCCCAUCUCAACCCUUAGGGGGUGACAGGAUAGAUGGCCACUGGACUUCGGCAAGAACGAGCCCUUGGACGGGCUGCUGCUCCGACAGCGCCGCGCAGUGGCCAAAGCCGGGGCAGGCGAGGCCUAAGACCCAGCUGCGCUCAGCGGUCAGUCAGCAGGUUACUUCCUCUUCCAGGCCUGUUUCCUGCUCUGCGUAGGAAAGAGCAGGGACCCAGGAAUCAGGCUUCUAGGGUCCCAGUCCUGGUUUCACCAUUUACUGGCUCUGUCACCCUAGAUAAGUUCUGUAAACUCUUUGUGCCUCUGUUUUUUUUCUCUGUAAAGUGAAAUUAAAAACACCUACCUCAUGACUGCUAUGUAAAAGUAACCAUAUCACUCUAGGCCACUUACGAAGAGGUAUUGAGAGCGCUUUGCAGACUCUGCAGAGAAAAUUAGGGGUUUGGAGUUGUGUAGUCUCCCACCUGGAUCUCAAGCCCUGAUCUAGCUCCCAACUGGGCUACCACUGCCAUCUAAUCCUCACCAGUCACUGUGCUGAAUUAGGUCCUACUGGGAUAAGCUCUGGAAGCAAGGUGGGAGGAAUCUGCAGCCCCUGAAGGCUGUAUCUCAACAGGGUUAAUGGGAGUGGAUAAAUUAUCCUUUUCAUCUAACAGUAGCCUCCAAUCUAUGGCAUAAUCUAGUGUAAAUACAACUCUCUGAUUCCACAGGUGGGGCAAAAGAGGCCCAGAGUAGGGAAGGAACUCACCUAGGCUCCUACAGCAAGAUAAAGCAGGGCCAGGUGCAACCCUCGUCACAGAAUCCUCAUGAGGUAGUCUCAAUCCUCACAAGUCAUCUGGCUAAGAGCAGUAGGAAAGAGCAGGAACCUGGUCUGGCUGCUCAUAUCCUGUGAGAGCAAGUCCUCUGCCCAAACAUCUACCCUACCACCACCCAUCCACACAUCUGCCCCUCCUAAGACCAAGGGAAUCCACCUGGUGUGCUCAGUCUUCAUAAAGAGACUGUGAGAAAAUGGGAAGAGGUCCAGUCCUCAAACCAUGGGCAGGAAAUUGGGCAGGGACUAGUAGCCCUGGAAUUGGAAUUUCCUGGGUGAUAGAGCCUUCCAGAAAAAAAGGGAGGAUGCCUUGGAGAAAAUUUCUUGCGUGAGUCCAGAUGAACUCACAUACCUUGGGUUGCCAGAUUUAGCAGAUUUAUUCUAUUUGGCAACCCCACUUAUACCCCAGGUUUGCUUGUUACUACAUGGAGUGCUCUCUCACACAGACAUCCCACACUAUCUACCACACACUAGCUCCAACCCAGCUUAGCUCUGCUAGUGUCUAAGUAAAUGGAGAGAAAAACAGCAUUGGCAUUAUCCUAUUCCAUCUCACCUUCUGAAUGUCUUCAUUUCUAAAAUAGCAAAUGUGAACCAGUAACUUCCUUCCUUGCUAGUGCCUUCCUGGUUCCCGAGGCUCCUGCCUCCUUCCCAACUUCAAGGUAACACCGGCUGUGGCAUUUUCUGCCCAAACAUGCUGGUUCUAAUGUUCCAGGCAAGCCUGUCUACCCCACAGCUGCAGCUGCCAGCCCCUGCCUCUGCCUGGCCCUGCUGUACACUUCCUGCUGCUCAGACCCAGGAUACAGGCACCCCAGCCCCCAUUUUGCAAACCAGGGGUGGAGUACAAUCUUAAGGAGUGAUCCAAACCCUCCAAGUACACACACACACACCUUUAUAGAGUGAAAAAUGAGGCCCAUGAGAUCAUGUGACUUGCAACAGGGUUUUGAAGGUCCCCCCAGCCCCAUAUGGGUUGGACCCGGGUGUCUGGACUCCCAGCUCAGAGCUCCUCUAUUUAUCCAAGUAACUCUGUUUAGUAUCUGGCCAAGCUCUACUCUUGCCUGAGGAAAGGUGUUUAUAGGAGCCUCUCAUCACUCCCAAGACUCUGGACCAAUUUGAUUUGAGUAAUGCCCUGGGGGCUGGGAGAAGGGCGACCCUGGCAUUCAGGAUUCCUUUAAUUUUCUGACCUUCUCCCAUGGCUCCAACCUGUGGGCUUAGCCUCUUUGAUGUCCUCUUGUUGCAUGUCCCACCCAGGGUGAGUUUGUCACUGCCCUCGCAAGAACCUGGGUGGUUUCUCAGAAGCCUGGGCUCCAGCACCCAUGCCUACAGCCUCCAAGAAGCAGGAGGUGACAGGCUGUAUGGGUCUUGGUUACAGUGUCACUGGGAGUGCCCGAUCUCCUCCUUCCUCUGCCUUAUUGUUUGUCCACGUCCCUUGAGCAGCCCAGAAACGACGGGGAGGAAGCGUUUGGAAGCACUUGUUUGGGAGUUGUCUACUCCAAAAUGUUCGGGCAACCGAGGAGAAGUUGUUGGGUGUUUAUUGCAAUGUGUUGCGCUCAGUGGCGUCCUUUCCUCCUUAUGGUCCCUCUAGACAUGCUGUUCUCCUCGGCUGGAGAAAUGAGAGCUCUCAGACCAUUAUGAAAAAAUAAAGUCAAUCGCGAAACUGGUGAAGAGUGGCACAGACCUAGCUAGAGGCUGGAACGCUGAGCAGAGACCUGUAUCUCACAUGGCCUUCCCACAGUUAGAGCUCUGCGAAUGAGGAGUGCCGCCCCUCCGUGCAGCCUAGCCUGGCUUGCAAAGCGCGACCCGAGCGGGGAAGGGGACACAACGCCCCCACACUUCUUACUCCCCAACUAGGCCAGCCUCGGGGAAAGCGGCGAGACCGGCACAGUCACGCCCUCUUCCCGCAGCUCCACAGGGUCAUACCUUUGGGGAGAGAUGGUUGUUUGGCUACAGCCAGUAAAUACAUCUCCAGACCCCUUUCUCCACCCAGAUCUUGGUCUGCUCGAGAGCGAUCGGCUCCCCUGACCCUGGUGGGAGGCGGUAAACUCCAGUUCGUGACCUGCAAGGGCUUCCUACACCUGGGACAGGGACUCCGGGUUAGCAUUCAGGGAGAGGCCGGACCCCUCUGCCAUCACAGGAAUGAUGGGGUCUCCAGUUUGCGCCUUCACGCCUGCAGGCUAUCGGCCACGCCCUGGCGCCUGGUAGGGGUUGGGCGCUUCUGCACUACCUCCUACACCUCGGCGUGCCCUCGGAGGAAAUGUCUUUCCUUCUUUUAUGCCUAGCCAAGGUCCGCCCCCGUCCCCAUCCUCCGAGCUCCCCCACGCACCCCGGGACCACGUGGCGAGGGGCUCUCUUGAGCACCCUAGGGUCCCAGCACGGCGCGGCGGUUAAAACUAGGACGAGCUGUGGAGCCUAUCGACUCUCGUUCGUGGGAAGAGGGUUGCCGGCGCAAGGGAGUGACAACUGCGCGGCACCCGGGCCGCAGGCUUUGCAGCGACCGCUGUAGGGUGGACUCCACACUCUUGGGAGGUUUUCAGCUGGGAGUAGGGGACGUUCCAGCUGUGGCAGAGCUUGAGCUUCAAGUCUAAGUGCCCCUACUGUCUAAGUUGGUCCUGGAUUUUAGAGUCCGAAGGUCUGUUGCUCUGUCCGCGUGUGUGUGUCUGCCCCUCCCGGCUAAGGUGACUGUGUGCCCCAGGAUGUCCCUGUGUGAUCGGCGCUGUCGCGAGUCCUCUCCCCAUCACACGAUCUAUGCCUGGAACUGCCCUGGAAGGCUCGCCAGGCCGGCCCACAACUCUCCCGCCGUGCCUGAAGCGGCGCGACCUGGUCGGGCACUGCAAACCCACUCCUGGCCCGCAGCGUGACCCCGGAGGGGAAGGCGGAUGUGUGAGUGUGCGAGCCUGGGACUAUGGCUAGGAGAGGGGGGAGAGCGUAGGGGCGCGGCGCUGCGGAGAACCAGGGGGACUAAGGCGGCGGCCUCCUUCCUUCCGACUGCACGCCGCCUGCUGGAGCAGCAUUACCUCGGAACCAGACGCCCUGACACAGCCCUGAACUGGAGCAGGGCAGGAGGGAGGAGAGGCCAUAGCCAUCCGGACCCGGUCCUCCUACGCACUUCACACACAUACACGCCUUAGUGUUUCGCCUUUCAGAGACCCCAGGAGUGUAACUAGUGAAGCCAUAAGUCCCCGCGUGGAUGCGGAAUAUUCCCAGGUAGCUGAGCCAUCUUGAGCGGAUUCGGAGCCGCGUAAGCCCCACAGAAGCAGAGCGAGGGGCCAGCAGGACUGGCCUUGCUGUGCCCACGCUGGUGACGGAUUCCCGGGGAACAGCGACCUCUGGAGGAGCCACGCAUCCACGCAAAGAGUCAGGAACGAAAGAAGCCUUCUGGAGAACCCAUCUUCUCCUUUUCUGUUCUGAGCUCCUCAGAACCUAAAGCCUGAACCCUGGACUCCAGCAUUUGGACACCGCACUGUACAGCCCACCUGCUUUCUGCCGGGCGCUCCUUCAAAGAGACCCUUAAUCUAUCCACUCACCCACCUUUUGCAUUGCAUGCUGGGUGUGCUGUUUUUCUUACACACAGUAAAUAAAGACUAAGGUUAUUUAUCCAGAACUUGGACUGUAGGUUUUCUAAGUUCAUUUCCCACAUAGGGAAAUUGAAAUCCAGAGAGAGGACUGAUUUGCUCAAAGUCACACAGCAAUGGUAGCAGAGGGGGAACUAGAUCCUAAUUCUUCCAUUUCCCAGCCCAGAGCCCUCUCCAUUUCACCCAAAUGAGGAGCGGGUAGUGUGGGGAAGCCUCAUAUUGAGGAAUGAGGCCUGGUUGGGGGAGUUUCGGCACUUGGCAUAUGACAGAAAAUACAGGAGGGAACUGGGUGGAGGUGGGCAGGAGGUCACUGCUCCAGGUUUGUUCUUGCAGCUGGAGAGGACCAGUGGAGACUGAGUCAAGAGGCAUGAAAUCUACUCCCAGUCCUGCCCUGACUCCCUUUGUAACCAAACAUGCCCCUGCCCCUCCCAGGUCUUCAGUUUCCUCAUGACAUGUACAACUUCUGUUCUAGACAUAUUGGCUUUAGAAUCAGGGCUCUUAACUACUGUGCUCUACCUAAAAUUCCAAAUGUGAGCAGUUGCCAUUCACAGUAGUAAUAAUAAUCGUAUUUCUGCACAGUGUUGCCCUCCCCAGGCUUAUGCUCAUCCCAGCUUAGAUCAGCCCCAUAUGGCAUCAUAUGGUACCCUAGUUGAUACCACAGGUUUGGGCCAACCCAGAGGUCCCCAGGCUAUUUUCAGUCAUGGAGUUUGCCCCUGCCCCCACCCUACUUAGUCUUAUACAUGCCUCUUUCAGGGCUCUCACAAAGAUGGAGCCCUGGAUGGGGGAGGGCAGAAAGGGGGAGACUGCAGUGUUUGGGUAGAUAUCUGGAGGCCUAAACAGUGGAGGUCCAAAGAGCUAGCUCCCUACACCUACCACUGAUGCCCAGGGUCUGGGCACUAGAAAGAAGGACCCAUCACUCUGGGCAGACUGACAGCCAGAGCCAGAUCCCACCCAGGAUAAAGGUGGGAAGUGUCCAGGCUUCCCAGAUCCAGAAGCCAAAAUAUCUAGUGAAGGGCCCUAGUGAAAGACUCAGGAUGGGAAGGCCACUGGGGAGAAGGGCAGUGAGGCUGAGAUGGUGAUGAAAUU
Long non-coding RNA from Manis javanica (Malayan pangolin), 5861 nucleotides. RefSeq lists it as uncharacterized. Lineage: Eukaryota; Metazoa; Chordata; Mammalia; Pholidota; Manidae. The record is from RefSeq and is a predicted model, not a curated record.